This 255-nucleotide ribosomal RNA is filed under the name uncultured bacterium. RNAcentral's name for it is "partial 16S ribosomal RNA". It matches the Rfam family "Bacterial small subunit ribosomal RNA", at positions 333 to 580 of the family's 1533-position model. The record is from RNAcentral.
CGGGGCUUACGGGGCGCAGCAGUGGGGAAUAUUGCACAAUGGGCGCAAGCCUGAUGCAGCCAGGCCGCGUGUAUAAGGAAGGCCUUCGGGUUGUAAAGUACUUUCAGCGGGGAGGAAGGGAGUAAAGUUAAUACCUUUGCUCAUUGACGUUACCCGCAGAAGAAGCACCGGCUAACUCCGUGCCAGCAGCCGCGGUAAUACGGAGGGUGCAAGCGUUAAUCGGAAUUACUAGGCGUAAAGCGCACGCAGGCGGAU